Macadamia integrifolia is the source of this 624-nucleotide long non-coding RNA. RefSeq lists it as uncharacterized. The record is from RefSeq and is a predicted model, not a curated record. The transcript is spliced from 2 exons. NCBI's taxonomy places the organism in Eukaryota, Viridiplantae, Streptophyta, Magnoliopsida, Proteales, Proteaceae.
GACAGCAUCCACCCUGCACUGCUUUUUUUCUCUUCACCUUCAAAACAGAGAGAGAGAGAGAGAGAGAGAGAGAGAGAGAGCUCUCACAAGUCCAAAUCAUGCAUUUGAGAAUCUGAAUCAUUCAUAUGGGAGGGAGCUUUUCAAGACAAGGCAACAGAGAGAAAAAGAGGGUUGCCCUAGGAGAAGCAAAAGCAGGCCAAGGGAGGAUAUCCAAUGGAACAUAGACUCGAGUCACUACUUCCAAGACUACGCCUCAGUGUGCCUGUGAUUCUCUUAAGGAUUGCAGGUUUAUGGUGUGGUUAGUUCACUCAAAUCCACUGACUUCAUGCACGGAUACUCAACCAGUUUAUUCUUGUGAUAAGCUUGACUGGAGCGCCCUAAGUUUGCCUGUGGAUCAAUUGCAGAAUACAUUUUUUUCUUUCUUCUUAUUGUAUAGUGAAUUUUUGGAUCUUCCUCCUGAGAAAGUCUUCCGGUAUGAGACCCACAUAUUCAAGUUUUAAUAAGGCGGUAGAAAGUAAAUCGAGAAAGGAAAGUGUGCUUUUAUUGAAUUUAUCACAUUGGAUAUUGAAGUGAGCGUACGAGAUUCUUUCGAAAUCACCCAUUUUGAUAAGUUAUUUUGCUAUU